GCGGAGUGCCUAAUACAUGCAAGUCGAACGAGUUCUGAUUAUUGAAAGGUGCUUGCAUCUUGAAUUUAAUUUNGAACGAGUGGCGGACGGGUGAGUAACACGUGGGUAACCUGCCCUUAAGUGGGGGAUAACAUUUGGAAACAGAUGCUAAUACCGCAUAAAUCCAAGAACCGCAUGGUUCUUGGCUGAAAGAUGGCGUAAGCUAUCGCUUUUGGAUGGACCCGCGGCGUAUUAGCUAGUUGGUGAGGUAACGGCUCACCAAGGCAAUGAUACGUANCCGAACUGANAGGUUGAUCGGCCACAUUGGGACUGAGACACGGCCCAAAACUAAUACGGGAGGCAGCAGUAGGGAAUCUUCCACAAUGGACGCAAGUCUGAUGGAGCAACGCCGCGUGAGUGAAGAAGGCUUUCGGGUCGUAAAACUCUGUUGUUGGAGAAGAAUGGUCGGCAGAGUAACUGUUGUCGGCGUGACGGUAUCCAACCAGAAAGCCACGGCUAACUACGUGCCAGCAGCCGCGGUAAUACGUANGUGGCAAGCGUUAUCCGGAUUUAUUGGGCGUAAAGCGAGCGCAGCGGUUUUUAAGUCUGAUGUGAAAGCCUCGGCUUAACGAGGAAGUGCAUCGGAAACUGGAAACUUGAGUGCAGAAGAG
RNAcentral lists this ribosomal RNA (650 nucleotides) under Lactobacillus sp. lb01. RNAcentral's name for it is "bacterial SSU rRNA". It matches the Rfam family "Bacterial small subunit ribosomal RNA", at positions 39 to 656 of the family's 1533-position model. Lineage: Bacteria; Bacillati; Bacillota; Bacilli; Lactobacillales; Lactobacillaceae. The record is from RNAcentral.